RNAcentral lists this long non-coding RNA (6222 nucleotides) under Androctonus crassicauda. Lineage: Eukaryota; Metazoa; Arthropoda; Arachnida; Scorpiones; Buthidae. The record is from RNAcentral.
AAACUAUUAGGAAUGAAGUUAAGAGUCAAUGUACUUUUAUAUGUUUAGUUAUUAUUAAUGAAAGCGUUAAUAUCGUGACGUUGAGCAGUUUGUAAUAUGAUUUUGUUGACGGCGUAGCUUCUCUUGUUCUCAUUUGUAACAUCCACACUUAGCUUUUUAGGUUUGAAAAACAUUUUACAAUGCGAUUUUAUUUUUUAACGAUCAAAUCACAUUAUUGCCUGUAAGCUUGUAACCCCGCAUGACUCAUUUGGAUUGCGGCGAAACAAACUUUAAGGCCUUUUUAAACAUCAAAUUUUGCUUCGCAUGGGGUAAAUUUUGCUCGAAGGAUUAAUUUCUAGCAUAUUAAAGGAAAUGAUCUCUAUUUCGUGCGUCAAAAAUAACUUUUAUUAUUAUUAUUUUUUAUUUGAAAUUUCUUGAGUAUGAACAAUCACGUUACCGAGAUGAAAGAAGAUGCGAAAUCUUUAGAUCCUGUUGGAUUAUCUUUCGCGAUAUCGCGCUAGAGAAAAUGAUGUGGAAGAUUUAUCUAUUAUACAAAAACUGAGCCACACUUGAAAAAUAAUAAUGAGCAAAGUUUAAAAUUGAUUUCGAUCACAACAUGCAGAAUAGAAGCACGAUCGAAGUAUUAAAAUCCUAUUCGUCUAUUGUAAGGUAAUUAAGAAGGUGCAGUUUAAUAGAUCUUCAUUUAUCCGUUUUACUCUUUUUUUUUAUUAACAAGUUAUAUUCUCACGCUUAUGUCACGAUACACAUCACGUCUUUGUAAACGUCCGGUUCUACUUUAACUUGAUUUUAGUCACGACCAGACAUUCCAUCAGUAGAAUUGCGACCUAGCCGAGUUAAUUCUCUGAACGGGUGCGGAAAGACCAUUUCACAGUAGCGUAUUAUGCACAUAUUCGACUUCCGCCAGACUGUCAAUGACACACCUAGGAAAAAUCUUAUCCGGGGUCACACGAAAUACGUCAAACUACGUCCUUUUAUUGUCCUUGUUCGAUCAUUCAUAACGUCUCGUUAUUGUUUUAUUGAGACUCGUAUCGAUGAACCUAUAUGAACUAUCGCAUACUUGUCUAUAAAAUGGACGAGAGGCCUUAAAACGUUUUAUGCAUUUCCUGCCAUCUUACUCGGAUUAGGUUGAUACUUUUAGAAUCCGAUUUUAAACGCACUUUACAGGAAAGUUUCGAUUGAAGUCGUUUUAUCAUAAAAUUAUUCUGAUUCCUCUCCAACUUGGAAAUAUGAGUUGUUAAAAUUAUCAUCUAGUGAAAGGCCUUUAGUGGGCUCCUCUUUCCGAGAUCAGUACAGAUACAGCACCACAUAUGUACAAUACAAACAGGUUUAUCGAGUUAUCAUUAUUUUCAUUGCUUCGAUAAAGGGACCCUGAUGUAAGGGCCUUCUUCUGUAUCGCAAUAUUUGAACGCAUAUACGGUUACUGGGAGAAUACGAUCACAUUAUUUCAAGAAUUCACUAAUAAAAAUGUUAUUUGUUAAUAAGGAAGACGUGUUAAGAGAUGCCGAAGUUAGAUUAAAAUCGUGUUUCUAUUUUUACUUUUCUUUUUGUACAUCUGCUAACUGCUGUUCAACAGAACUAAAGCCAGGGUUUGUUUUCUAUAUUUUCGGGAAUACAACCAAAAUUGAAGAUGCUUUUCCUACGAAAAAAAAAGAAAAUGGUUCAGUUUCUGCUUUUUUAUUCAAUUCUUUUCGGCAUCUCUGAUUCACUUCAUCCACUUCGGAAUCGAAAAAAUAAAACGUAAAACUAGGAUUUCGACCGGGCUUUUUCUAGAUAGAACAAGACGAUUGUUAGAAAAUCUGCAAAGCACUGUCAUUUUAUUCGUAGUUAACAAUUGCAACCACCGAUAGAGGACAAGCGACGCGUUUAAAUAUCAAAACAAGAUAAUCUGCAUAUUUAACACUAUAAGAGGAAGUGAAGAGGAGGAGAGGAAAAAAUUUAUCCACAGUAUAUAUUUAGGAAGAAAGAAAGGCGGCGACAAGUUCCGGAAUGUGAAAAUCUCUAAUGACAUCCGGGUUACAAAGAGCGGAACAAAUUCCGAAGAGCCGUUCCCAGACGAGCAAUUUAAUUGAUGACAAACUCGGUGGCUUUCAUUUCGGACGUUUCCACCACCAAAUUGAUCCUCAAUCCCCCAUCUACGAGAUGCAGAAAUCUUGGCUGGAGGAAUAACUGUAGAUAGAAUCUUCUUUAAGCGAGAGUUUUUAAGAAAUUUGCGGCGACUGUGGUUCCUUAAAUGGAAAAGUUUCAGAGUUUCCAUAUUAUGACACCUGCUGUUGAUGAUGGUGAUAAUUAGACAGUUGGCUAGUCGAGAUCACGAGGCCAUUGACAUUGUCUGGUAUGUGGAUGUAGGCGUUCUGGCAUCGAUUCCAUUAGAACUACUAGUUUUUGGAACUCGCUAGUUAAUGGUCAUCCAGAAAUUUCAUUUCGCCAAUUUUAACCAUGGUUAACGGGAAAAUAAUGGAUAAAAAUUGAUGUCUGUCCGCCAUUCGUAUCACCAGACAGUUGGUAUAAUCGCGAAUUUCGAAAUCUUAACUUUAUAAAAGAUAAUAAAAGAUUACUAACCUCUUUAACGAUUUUCUCAUUGUAUGUCGAGUUAAUCCAUCACCCGAAAAUUUUCACACCGUCAAGUAGAAGCAGGGAGAAUUUAUCUCAAAUCCAUGUGCAUUCUUUCCACCCUCACCGCCCACCCUGUGACCUUUACCACCAACCUGGUGGCUUUUGUGACUCGUCCCCACCAACCUCGCCGCUUUUGUGACAACGACAUGAAGUCGAAAGUGAAAAGGGAUCCAGUUGCACGUGACCAUCUCUUCACGUGAGGGAAUUCCAUCCACUUCGAAACGUUCACCCACUCACUUGAAAGGUUGGGGUGCGCCCUUUCGAUUAAAUUCGAAAUUUUUCAAGAUGUUUACAAUCGUCACCAAUUUUUUAAAGCAAAUAAUCGCUUUAAAAUUCUGUAAAAAAAAAAUUUAUCUGACUCCGUACAAAUUUAAAUUACAUACACGUACUGAUACAGCGCAUAUAUAUGUAGCGUUUUGAAUAUAUUUUUUCGAGACAAAACGCGUUAUGUCUGAUCGCACAUCUGCAUAUGCAAUUUCAUCUCGACCAGAACGAUGGGACAAAGAAAAACAAGUUCUAAACAUAUGUCUGUAUAUCUUUUCCAAUAAACGGAACACAGUCGAUCCGAAACAGUCUCGAAACAUUUUAAUUACAACUUAAUUUUAUUUCGGAUCUGUGAUACACCGAUCUCGAAUCAUUUAAACACCUUCUACAUGGACUUAUCGUAGUUUCCAUCCCAACGUUUUCCACACCCAAAUUUAGUGUCGAAUUUCGAAUAAGAGGAGACCAAUCGUAAAUGGAUUCUGGAGCAACAACAACUCCGAUACUAAUGGGUUAAUAUUAAACCUUAGAUUUAUUGGAAGUGUUUAAUCAUUAUAGGAAACUGAUUAAGAGAGAUCCGUGAUGUUUAUUGCCAGACGUGCCGAUCAUUUCCGGAAAGAUUUACGUCAAACUACACUUCAUCUACCGCAUCGUGUGGGUUGACGUUUUCUACCCAUAUCCAUUUAGCCUUUCACUCAGAUCGCUUGUUUACCAAAAGACUAGCUAAGGGCUGCGAUUCUUACCAGGAAACAUCGCAAAUCUAUAGGGAGAGAGAGAGUCGCACCGAUGAUGAAUCGAACCAAUCCCAUAAAGAUAAACCAGUAAAUAAGCGGUUAUUCGCAUUCUGUACAAUAACGACAUCAGUUUGUUUAUUGGAAUGAUAAGACGUUGGCUAACCGGCCAUCAUUUUUCUCCAUCCUACCAUUUUAGAAUAUCUCAAACGAAAAAUAGUCUUAUUACUUUUAAAUGAAACAAUAUUUUCCAAUAUAUUCGCCAUUUUUUCGAGUUUCUUCGGAUACGCGCUUCUUGUAAGAUCUUUAAUUAUCGAGGAGAAUUCGAAAUAUUUGUAUAUGUAUUGUUAAUAGCGUAUAUGAGAGUAGAAACGGCAGUAAUACUGCAGUACUUCAUCCCCAGCAUCUCGAAUGUAAUGGCGGAUAAAAAAAAAACUGAUAAAAACCCGAUAAUUAGUUUUCGUGCAUUUAUGCGGCGAGUUUAUACAGCAGACAGUCGGUAUUUAGGAAAGUGCGUAGGUCAAAUUGAUUUUUAAGGGUCGGAACGUUAGGGAGAUUUCUGGUAGUUGAAUGUCUGCCCGAUAGAUGGAGCCGGUAGACGGAAAUCGGCGCCAAACUGUCAGCCUGCAGCAGACUCCUGUCAGACAUUCCUGCUGUCUAGGCGAGGGUAAAUUUUCUGAUGCGUCAUCACUCGCCGCUGACACUGUUCGGGCUGUGUACACCGACUACGCAGUUACGGCCCCCCAACUUAUGGAGUGUAUAAAUAAUUUCCGUCGGUCCAAGUCGAAUAUUAUUUUAACAAUCUUGUGUUUGGUUGGUGUUUUUAGAGAAUUGGUGCGACUCUUGUGGAAAGAUCUAGUUGCUUUCUACCUGUUCAUUCAGCCAGCGAUGUUUUGCGGGACCACCCGGCGCUAGUUGCGCAAUCUCCCACAGGGAAAAAUCGCCAAUAUUCUGUGUUUUGUCGCCGCUUCUCUACCGACGUCAAAGAAAGAUUCGCUCUUUCGUCGAUCGCACAACGGGACUGGUAGGGGGUACUUCGUGUCUCUGUUCUCAUUGGUUUAAACACGCUGACCACGCUUUACUGGCAGCCAAUAGAAAGCGUAGAAGUUACGUCCGGUCGCAGUUUUUCCCAGAAGUUAAACGUUAGUAAAGAAAUAAUACAAUUUGACUGAAUGAAGUCGUUGAGUAGGGAAGUGUAUCGUCAUUCCUUCUCUAGUGUACUGGAUGGUCUGUAUGUGCCUUCUACUCCUCCAAUCGAGGUGAGCCCUUUUUUACUUAUGUACUUGUUCCAUUUAUUCACUUAGAGAAUUUUAACUGUGUAGAGAAAGUGUAAGCAUUCACACUCGACUCCCUUUAUCUCCUUUUGAAAGGAAAGAACCUGAUGUAUCCCCUUUAGCUUGUUGAAACGUUAACAGCGAAAGUAAGAGGAAAGGCAACUUCCGAUACAACCGAUUGGACUUUACAAAUCAACUCGCCGAUAUUUUCUGUCGAUAGAUAAAGCAGAUUUGACCAAAUACGUAUUUUAACAGCGGUAGCCAUCCAAAACCGAGUUUUCGGUUUGGAAUUUGUCCAGUGGUGUGGGUUCUUACGAAGGCGUAUUAACCUUUAUUUAUUGUGGCCGUUUCCAUUUUUAAACGUGUCGAAAUAACGAAAUCGAAAAUAUAUUUGUUACGUUUUAAGCUUUCGAUUUCUAACUGUUACGACGGUCGAAGCGACGGAAAUAGCAGAUUCCGUUUGAUAAGCGCAUUCCUAUCUUCCCUCCUCCUUUUUGACGUGUUUCGAUGAACUUUUGACCGUGCCGAUGACGUCAAGUUUAAAUAAUAUUUGCCAUUGACGUACGUCAGUCCGUACUCUAAACUGUCGAACAGGUAGAACGCAGUACGUGUUACAGUUAAGUUGCGUAGUACACGCCAUACGACUUGGCAUAUGUUAAUGAAGUUAUUUAACAUAUCUGACAUUUGGCCAGGUAAGCUUAAUUGAUUUUUACAAGAAACCGUUUUCUUCUUGGUUAUUAAAAUUUUAAAAGGUCGUUAGUUUGGGAAGUCGUCAAACUUCGUGGAAUUUUUAAAUUUUCACCGCCACCCACGCUAAUUUUGUAAUCAGCUCUUGUAAAUCGAGAAAUAGGUCUAGUAUUAUUCUCGUUAUAAUCGGGGUUUUUACCCCUGUGACCCAUCUGAUUUUUUUUUUCUAUAUUUUGUCGCUACUUAUUACCAAUUUUUAAGUCGUAGAUACUACGUAAAAAUCUAAUGUCGCGUUAUAUUAGUUCUAAUUUUAGGAACUUCUUACGAUCGGAAGUGAUAUCUGAAGGACCAAAUUCUAAUUUUAAAGCUUCGAUUCUGUCGUGUUUUUAUUUUAUAAGAUAUGGGAGACACAUGAAUUUAUAGAAUAUUGGUAUGACGUAGGAGCCAACGGUAUUUGUCAAUAAAAUAGGGGAUAAGUGUUUAAGUUACAGAUGGUUUGUGUGUACGUGUGUGUGUGUGCGCGAAGAAAAUACGAUAGGAAUAUGUAGAAAAGAAAUAUAAUAGGAUGUUUCUCAUUGAAGUUGGCUUCCUUACUUAUAGGAAACCUAAUACAGCUUCUACCGUCUUACGUCGAUGUCGGAGGUAUUCCCCCUGUU